AGAGUUUGAUCCUGGCUCAGGAUGAACGCUAGCGGCGUGCCUAAUGCAUGCAAGUCGAACGGGAUCCUUUGGACUCGUCUGAAGGUGACAGUGGCGAACGGGUGAGUAACACGUUGGUGACCUGCCCCAGAGAGGGGGAUAACUAUUGGAAACGAUAGCUAAUACCUCGGAUGUCAUUGCGGUUAGAGAGCAAUGACUAAAGCUCCGGCGCUCUGGGAGGGGCCUGCUGCCCAUCCGCUACUUGGUAUGGUAAUGGCCUACCCAGGCCAACACGGGUACGGGGCGUGAGAGAGUGACCCCCCAGACUGGUACUGAUGCACGGACCACAUACCUUCGGGUAGCAACAGCAAGGAAUAUUUGCCCAAUGUACGAAAGUCUGAGGCACCUACACCGCCUGGAGGAAGAAGGCCUUCGGGUUGUAAACUCCUUUUUUGGGGGAAGAGAAAGGACGGUACCCCAGCGAAUAAGUCUCGGCUAACUACGUGCCAGCAGCCGCGGUAAAACGUAGGAGGCGAGCGUUAUCCGGAUUUACUGGGCGUAAAGCGCGUGCAGGCGGUUUCUCUAAGUCGGACGUGAAAGCUCUCGGCUCAACUGGGAGAGGUCGUUCGAAACUAGGAAACUUGAGGAUGGUAGAGGAGAGUGGAAUUCCCGGUGUAGUGGUGAAAUGCGUAGAUAUCGGGAGGAACACCAGUGGCGAAGGCGGCUCUCUGGUCCAGUCCUGACGCUAAGACGCGAAAGCUAGGGGAGAGAACGGGAUUAGAAACCCCGGUAUUCCUAGCCGUAAACGAUGUCAACUAGGUGUAGGGGGUAUCCAACCCCCCUGUGCUGUAGCUAACGCGUUAAGUUGACCGCCUGGGGACUACGCCGCAAGGCUGAAACUCAAAGGAAUUGACGGGGACCCGCACAAGCAGCGGAGCGUGUGGUUUAACUCGAAGCUACGCGAAGAACCUUACCAGGGCUUGACAUGGUCGUGGUACGAAAGUGAAAGCCGACGGACCUUUCGAGGAGCGUCACAGGUGUGCACGGCUGUCGUCAGCUCGUGCCGUGAGAUGUUAGGUUAAGUCCUGUACGAGCGCAACCGUCGUCGUUAGUCAUACGUGUCUAACGAGACUGCCGCUGAUAACCCGGAGGAAGUGGUGAUGACGUCAAGUCAGCAUGGCCUUUAUAUCGUGGGUACACACACGCUACAAUGGCCGUACAAUGGGUUGUCAAGCCGCGAGGAGGAGCCAAUCCUCCAAAGCCGGUCUCAUUGGAUUGUAGGAUGCAACUCGCCUACAUGAAGUAGGAGUUGUUAGUAACCGUGCGUCAGCAACAGUGCGGUGAAUACGUUCCCGGGUCUUGUACACACCGCCCGUCACGUCAUGGAAGUUGGCAACGCAUGAAGUCAGUGAGCUAACCCUCACGGGAGGCAACUGCCCAAGGCGGGGUCGGUAACUGGGACGAAGUCGUAACAAGGUAACC
This 1461-nucleotide ribosomal RNA is filed under the name uncultured bacterium. RNAcentral's name for it is "bacterial SSU rRNA". It matches the Rfam family "Bacterial small subunit ribosomal RNA". The record is from RNAcentral.